Manduca sexta (tobacco hornworm) is the source of this 620-nucleotide long non-coding RNA. RefSeq lists it as uncharacterized. The transcript has 3 exons. The record is from RefSeq and is a predicted model, not a curated record. Lineage: Eukaryota; Metazoa; Arthropoda; Insecta; Lepidoptera; Sphingidae.
GAUUUAGAAUUAUUUAACAGUAUUUAGAUAGAGUAUCCAUAGUUAUUAGUACUUUGUAUGUAAAGCUAAAUGUUCAGCAAAUACAAAUUAUAAUUUUGUUUCAGGCGAUGAAGUAGAAUUAAAUGAAGAGCUAGGAAGUUUACAAGGAUAUGAAGUAGAGACAAAUAUGCCUGUGAAUGAGCCAAGCACUUCACACAGUUAUAGAAUAGAAUAUGAAGUAGAAGAAAAUAUGCCUGGGAAUGAACCAAGCACUUCACACAGUUAUAGAAUAGGUAAUAAUUAUUGGGAUUUCUUUUUUAUAAAAUAGGAUCAAAUAAGGAGGAAAUAUGGUACAACUAUGUUGUAGAUAGUAGCAUGAGUGGGCUGGCUCAAAAGGUUAUUAAACCAUCUCUUUAAAUUGGCAACUUGUUGUGUUUCUUUCAGUUAGAUUUCCAGUAGAAGUAAUCUCCUCUCCCCAAAUCACUAUUUCCCCUCUUUAGGGUUGGCAAUGCACCAAAAAUUCUUGUGGUACCAUGGUUAUAUAUGGGUGGUGGUUAUCAUUCAUCAUGGGGUGACCCUACCUGGUUGUUUGCCAGUUUCUACUGUAAAAAAAAUGCUUUCAUUAAUUAUGUAUCACUCUU